RNAcentral lists this ribosomal RNA (900 nucleotides) under uncultured archaeon. Its description in RNAcentral is "bacterial SSU rRNA". It matches the Rfam family "Archaeal small subunit ribosomal RNA", at positions 455 to 1354 of the family's 1478-position model. The record is from RNAcentral.
GUGUCAGCAGCCGCGGUAAAACCAGCACCUCAAGUGGUCAGGAUGAUUAUUGGGCCUAAAGCAUCCGUAGCCGGCUCUGUAAGUUUUCGGUUAAAUCUGUACGCUUAACGUACAGGCUGCCGGGAAUACUGCAGAGCUAGGGAGUGGGAGAGGUAGACGGUACUCGGGAGGAAGUGGUAAAAUGCUUUGAUCUCUCGAUGACCACCUGUGGCGAAGGCGGUCUACCAGAACACGUCCGACGGUGAGGGAUGAAAGCUGGGGGAGCAAACCGGAUUAGAUACCCGGGUAGUCCCAGCUGUAAACUAUGCAAACUCAGUGAUGCAUUGGCUUGUGGCCAAUGCAGUGUUGCAGGGAAGCCGUUAAGUUUGCCGCCUGGGAAGUACGUACGCAAGUAUGAAACUUAAAGGAAUUGGCGGGGGAGCACCACAAGGGGUGAAGCCUGCGGUUCAAUUGGAGUCAACGCCAGAAAUCUUACCCGGAGAGACAGCAGAAUGAAGGUCAAGCUGAAGACUUUACCAGACAAGCUGAGAGGUGGUGCAUGGCCGUCGCCAGCUCGUGCCGUGAGAUGUCCUGUUAAGUCAGGUAACGAGCGAGAUCCCUGCCUCUAGUUGCCACCAUUACUCUCAGGAGUAGUGGGGCGAAUUAGCGGGACCGCCGCAGUUAAUGCGGAGGAAGGAAGGGGCCACGGCAGGUCAGUAUGCCCCGAAACUCUGGGGCCACACGCGGGCUGCAAUGGUAAUGACAACGGGUCCCGAAUCCGAAAGGAAGAGGUAAUCCUCAAACAUUACCACAGUUAUGACUGAGGGCUGCAACUCGCCCUCACGAAUAUGGAAUCCCUAGUAACUGCGUGUCAUUAUCGCGCGGUGAAUACGUCCCUGCUCCUUGCACACACCGCCCGUC